GGUGCUUCGGAAGAGAUGAUGGUCUAAGUCCCUUGGAACAGGGCGUCACAGAGGGUGAGAAUCCCGUACGUGACUAAUUAUCGAUUCCAUGUGAAGCCCUUUCGACGAGUCGAGUUGUUUGGGAAUGCAGCUCUAAAUGGGUGGUAAAUUUCAUCUAAAGCUAAAUACCUGCCAGAGACCGAUAGCGCACAAGUAGAGUGAUCGAAAGAUGAAAAGCACUUUGAAAAGAGAGUCAAACAGUACGUGAAAUUGUUGAAAGGGAAGCGUUCGCAAUCAGACUCGUUUGCAGAAGCUCAGCCUUCCUACGGGAUGGUGUAUUCUUCUGUCAACGGGCCAGCAUCAGUUUCGGCGGUUGGAUAAAGACUCUGGGAACGUAGCUCUUCUCGGAGAGUGUUAUAGCCCGGAGUGUAAUGCAGCCAGCUGAGACUGAGGUCCGCGCUUUUGCUAGGAUGCUGGCGUAAUGGUUGCUAGCGACCCGUCUUGAAACACGGACCAAGGAGUCGACCAAUGACGCGAGUGUUUGAGUGUCAAACUCAUGCGCGUAAUGAAAGUGAACGUAGGUGGGAGCUUUCGGGCGCACCAUCGACCGAUCUUGAUGUUUUCGGAUGGAUUUGAGUAUGAGCAUUAUUGGUCGGACCCGAAAGGUAAAGUCCUCCCCACAAUGUGCUCUUGUUGAAUUGUGUACUAACGUGAUUCUUCUAGAUGGUGAACUAUGCGCGGAUAGGGUGAAGCCAGAGGAAACUCUGGUGGAGGCUCGCAGCGGUUCUGACGUGCAAAUCGAUCGUCAAAUCUACGCAUAGGGGCGAAAGACUAAUCGAACCGUCUAGUAGCUGGUUCCUGCCGAAGUUUCCCUCAGGAUAGCAGCAACGAAUAUAGCAGUCUCAUGAGGUAGAGCAACGAUUAGAGGCCUUGGGGGCGAAAUGCCCUUAA
RNAcentral lists this ribosomal RNA (930 nucleotides) under Graphis leptoclada. RNAcentral describes it as "eukaryotic LSU rRNA". It matches the Rfam family "Eukaryotic large subunit ribosomal RNA", at positions 158 to 1050 of the family's 3401-position model. Lineage: Eukaryota; Fungi; Ascomycota; Lecanoromycetes; Ostropales; Graphidaceae. The record is from RNAcentral.